RNAcentral lists this long non-coding RNA (689 nucleotides) under Heterocephalus glaber (naked mole-rat). RNAcentral's name for it is "lncRNA (ENSHGLG00100040106.1)". Lineage: Eukaryota; Metazoa; Chordata; Mammalia; Rodentia; Bathyergidae. The record is from RNAcentral.
CUGCACUCUGAGGUGAAGCCCAGAGCUCAGACCCAUCGUACCAGCUGAUCCAGUCAGACUGAAGGGCUGGGACACUCUCUGGUUUCUCCCUCUGGCCGGACUGUCAUCGCCACAAAGGAGCCCCAGCCAUCAUACCUCAGUGAGAGGAGUCACUGGAAGAGAGGAUCCUACAACUUUGAUGAGUCACCCAAGCUCCUGAGCGGGAAGACUGCUGGACUCCAGAGGACCAGGAAUCAACAAAUGUAGUGAGCCAAAGGAGGGUCACCAAAAGGGAACAUUCCUUGAAGAUGCGGCUCCAAGACAAAGAGAAUUGACUACACCCACAUACUUCCCCUAGGGGAGGAAGAAAGGAGAUUGAUAUUCUAAAUAGGCAUCAAUCACCUUGCGUGGGGACCAAAGCCGCCCUAGCCCAUUCCUUCCAGGAAAAAUCCUUGUUUGGUCCAUGCAAUCUUGGUAUGUGACUUGCUUUCCCAGUUUAUCCUCAUUUAAUCAAUAUCACCUAAGUGACUAUAUUUGUAAUCUUAUCAGUUGACUGUAGUUUUGUCCCACCUUAGGCCCACCUGACCUCGUGGCUUUGCUCAAUAAAACUCCCUUGAAAAGCAGGGUCCCCAGGCAACCCACUUUCUGGACUUCCUUUUCUCUCUUAGACAGAAGCUGUCUUUCUCUCAAUAAAUUUUUCUUACUCUUAA